Amphibalanus amphitrite is the source of this 482-nucleotide long non-coding RNA. RefSeq lists it as uncharacterized. NCBI's taxonomy places the organism in Eukaryota, Metazoa, Arthropoda, Thecostraca, Balanomorpha, Balanidae. The transcript has 3 exons. The record is from RefSeq and is a predicted model, not a curated record.
UUUUUAGCACUGGAACACGAUGCUCAUACACUGUGUUGUUAUCUUUCUUUCUUUUCGCCUGCUCCUUCCUCCAACUUGUGUCUUUGAGUAUUUCAGUCACAUGCUCAAACGUUCUUAAAUGCUCUCGCCAUCGGUUUACGCAUGCGUUGAAAACGGACAUGUGUUGACCAAAUUUAACAAUAUGCGGACAAUGGAUCGACUUCUUGAAGCCUGUGGACGUGAUACACCUUCUCCAUCACCAUCAAGAGAUCAACAUUUUCGAAGAUACUUGCGUACGGCUGUAUAGUGUCCGGCGCAAUGCUGAAUGCGACCUGUUAUCUGUUGGAUCUACUCUGUGAGCCAGAACCCCAGUGCAAUGGCACUGUUCGACUACAGCGCUGGACGUCGUCUACUUUUUGCUAGAAGCAAAUGUCAUCAUCCGUCCAUGAACUUCGGGCUGCUCACAACUAUAUUGCCUUGGCAAGUUCUUUGAGCACUUAAUA